AACGAACGCUGGCGGCAUGCCUAACACAUGCAAGUCGAACGAGACCUUCGGGUCUAGUGGCGCACGGGUGCGUAACGCGUGGGAACCUGCCCUUAGGUUCGGAAUAACUCCCCGAAAGGGGUGCUAAUACCGGAUAAUGUCUUCGGACCAAAGAUUUAUCGCCUUUGGAUGGGCCCGCGUUGGAUUAGCUAGUUGGUAGGGUAAAAGCCUACCAAGGCGACGAUCCAUAGCUGGUCUGAGAGGAUGAUCAGCCACACUGGGACUGAGACACGGCCCAGACUCCUACGGGAGGCAGCAGUGGGGAAUAUUGGACAAUGGGCGAAAGCCUGAUCCAGCAAUGCCGCGUGAAUGAUGAAGGCCUUAGGGUUGUAAAGUUCUUUUACCCGGGAUGAUAAUGACAGUACCGGGAGAAUAAGCCCCGGCUAACUCCGUG
This 433-nucleotide ribosomal RNA is filed under the name uncultured bacterium. RNAcentral describes it as "partial 16S ribosomal RNA". It matches the Rfam family "Bacterial small subunit ribosomal RNA", at positions 29 to 507 of the family's 1533-position model. The record is from RNAcentral.